GCUGAGACCGGUAACGGGAUCGACAAUGAUCUUGGCUGAGGUACAUGAGGGAUAUAUGGAACGGAAAGUCAUAAAAAGAUCCGAAUCCUCGGUAGUGGGAAGAAGGUCGCCAACGAAGAUACUAAACUCAGGAUCACGGGAAACAAAGUUGUUAUGUUGAAUGCCGCCACCAGUAGCCCAGUUAAGCUUGAAGGUACAGUGAGCACCAGGAAUCAUGGUGUUAUUAUACUUCAUCAAAGCACGCUCAGCAGCUGCAGAAGAGGAAAACUGAACGAAGCAAUAGCUGAUAAGCGUUUCCGAAGAGGAUGCUUUGGAGCGCAUGACUUUAACGUUGACAGGUUCGUUGAGGGAAGCCCAGAGCUGUUGAAUAAAAGUAGCGUCCAUCCAAGGUUCCAGGUCACCCAUCCAUAAGGUGUCGCUCAUUUUCGAGCCAACACCUGCUACAUCUUGAAGUGGAGUGGAGCUAGGAGAACAGUUGAAAGGAGCCACAAGUCUCUCCAAAGUAGGAGAAACUAACUCUGAUUUGCCCUCAUCAACCACAGGGGAAAUGGGGGCAUUGACAUCUGAAUUAGAAGCUGACAUUUUCGAGGUUGCUGGAAUAGACGAAUGCAAAGGGACGAAGGAAGUAUCAAACAAUGAAGAACGGCGAUAAAGGCAGUCAAUAGACAUUUAAAUAGAUAUCCAAAAAAAAGUAAAAGAAAGUAAGUAAUAUGAAUGAACAACA
Non-coding RNA from Schizosaccharomyces pombe (fission yeast), 724 nucleotides. NCBI's taxonomy places the organism in Eukaryota, Fungi, Ascomycota, Schizosaccharomycetes, Schizosaccharomycetales, Schizosaccharomycetaceae. The record is from the annotation of a GenBank genome assembly.